CGCGUAUGCGACCUGCCCGUUGCAGGGGGAUAAUCGGGAGAAAUCCCGUCUAAUACCGCGUAACGCCGCGGGGCUGCAUGGCCCUGCGGCCAAAGGAAGCGAUUCCGGCAACGGAUGGGCAUGCGUGACAUUAGCUAGUUGGCGGGGCAACGGCCCACCAAGGCGACGAUGUCUAGGGGUUCUGAGAGGAAGGUCCCCCACACUGGUACUGAGACACGGACCAGACUCCUACGGGAGGCAGCAGUGAGGAAUAUUGGUCAAUGGGCGCGAGCCUGAACCAGCCAAGUCGCGUGAGGGAUGACGGCCCUACGGGUUGUAAACCUCUUUUGUCGGGGAGCAAAUUCCGCCACGCGUGGCGGAGUCGAGAGUACCCGAAGAAAAAGCAUCGGCUAACUCCGUGCCAGCAGCCGCGGUAAUACGGAGGAUGCGAGCGUUAUCCGGAUUUAUUGGGUUUAAAGGGUGCGUAGGCGGACUGUCAAGUCAGCGGUAAAAUACGGGGGCUCAACCUCCGCCCGCCGUUGAAACUGACGGUCUUGAGUGGGCGAGAAGUAUGCGGAAUGCGUGGUGUAGCGGUGAAAUGCAUAGAUAUCACGCAGAACUCCGAUUGCGAAGGCAGCAUACCGGCGCCCAACUGACGCUGAAGCACGAAAGCGUGGGUAUCGAACAGGAUUAGAUACCCUGGUAGUCCACGCAGUAAACGAUGAAUACUAGCUGUCC
This 717-nucleotide ribosomal RNA is filed under the name uncultured bacterium. Its description in RNAcentral is "bacterial SSU rRNA". It matches the Rfam family "Bacterial small subunit ribosomal RNA", at positions 114 to 825 of the family's 1533-position model. The record is from RNAcentral.